GAUGAACGCUAGCGACAGGCCUAACACAUGCAAGUCGAGGGGCAGCGCGGGAGAAGCUUGCUUUUCCUGGCGGCGACCGGCGCACGGGUGCGUAACAGGUGUGCAAUCUGUCCAUAGUCGGGGGAUAGCCCAGCGAAAGCUGAAUUAACACUCCAUGUGAAUCGAAGCCGCAUGACUUUGAUUUGAAACGCAAGGACUAUGGGUGAGCACGCUUCUGAUUAGGUAGUUGGUGGGUAACGGCCCACCAAGCCCGCGAUCGGUAGGGGUUCUGAGAGGAAGGUCCCCCACACUGGUACUGAGACACGGACCAGACUCCUACGGGAGGCAGCAGUGAGGAAUAUUGGUCAAUGGGCGAGAGCCUGAACCAGCCAAGUAGCGUGCAGGAUGACGGCCCUAUGGGUUGUAAACUGCUUUUAUGCGGGGAUAAAGUGACGUACGUGUACGUUUUUGUAGGUACCGCAUGAAUAAGGACCGGCUAAUUCCGUGCCAGCAGCCGCGGUAAUACGGAAGGUCCGGGCGUUAUCCGGAUUUAUUGGGUUUAAAGGGAGCGCAGGCGGGGAGCUAAGCGUGACGUGAAAUGUAGCCGCUCAACGGCUGAACUGCGUCGCGAACUGGCUUUCUUGAGUGAGUACGACGUCAGCGGAAUUCGUGGUGUAGCGGUGAAAUGCUUAGAUAUCACGAAGAACUCCGAUUGCGAAGGCAGCCUUCCAGGGCAUUACUGACGCUAAAGCUCGAAGGUGCGGGUAUCGAACA
Molecule: ribosomal RNA, 753 nt
Filed under: uncultured bacterium
Lineage: Bacteria
Description: bacterial SSU rRNA
Rfam family: Bacterial small subunit ribosomal RNA
Source: RNAcentral